CGAGAAACGAUGUCGGAAAGUUACCCAAACAUCCACAAGAUGAGAAUCGGACCACCGGAAUGUGGUAAAACACUAAAACAAAGUCACUGAAAACCCUAAUCCCCGACAACUCACCAAAACCACCACAAAAGCGAUCAAAAUGUUGUUAAACGCUGAGGUUGAGAAGAUACACUCGGAUAUAAUGGUAGAAAACACUUUGAACCAUAUCCGAUGAAGAUCGGAAUCAUCACAGACCGUGUGGUCUCAGAAAAACCCUCAAAAAUCGUCGAACAAGAGCUCAAAAUCGACACCGGCAUGCAGAUAAACAUGAUCGGAUCGAUGUUAGGCUCUGAUACCAUGUAAAUGUUGAGAUUAUACGAGAGAAAUCACAGAAAAUUAGAGAGAGAAAGUAGAGAGAAGGAGGAGAAGAUUGAGAGAAACGANNN
This 425-nucleotide long non-coding RNA is filed under the name Nicotiana benthamiana. Its description in RNAcentral is "long non-coding RNA (NBEN_LNC016486)". The record is from RNAcentral. Lineage: Eukaryota; Viridiplantae; Streptophyta; Magnoliopsida; Solanales; Solanaceae.